Molecule: ribosomal RNA, 771 nt
Filed under: uncultured bacterium
Lineage: Bacteria
Description: bacterial SSU rRNA
Rfam family: Bacterial small subunit ribosomal RNA
Source: RNAcentral
AGAGUUUGAUCAUGGCUCAGGACGAACGCUGGCGGCGUGCUUAACACAUGCAAGUCGAACGGAAAGGCCCUUCGGGGUGCUCGAGUGGCGAACGGGUGAGUAACACGUGGGUGAUCUGCCCUGCACUUUGGGAUAAGCCUGGGAAACUGGGUCUAAUACCGAAUAGGACUGCGCUCUUCAUGGGGUGUGGUGGAAAGCUUUUGCGGUGUGGGAUGGGCCCGCGGCCUAUCAGCUUGUUGGUGGGGUAAUGGCCUACCAAGGCGACGACGGGUAGCCGGCCUGAGAGGGUGACCGGCCACACUGGGACUGAGAUACGGCCCAGACUCCUACGGGAGGCAGCAGUGGGGAAUAUUGCACAAUGGGCGCAAGCCUGAUGCAGCGACGCCGCGUGAGGGAUGACGGCCUUCGGGUUGUAAACCUCUUUCAGCACAGACGAAGCGCGAGUGACGGUAUGUGCAGAAGAAGGACCGGCCAACUACGUGCCAGCAGCCGCGGUAAUACGUAGGGUCCGAGCGUUGUCCGGAAUUACUGGGCGUAAAGAGCUCGUAGGUGGUUUGUCGCGUUGUUCGUGAAAACUCACUGCUUAACUGUGGGCGUGCGGGCGAUACGGGCAGACUGGAGUACUGCAGGGGAGACUGGAAUUCCUGGUGUAGCGGUGGAAUGCGCAGAUAUCAGGAGGAACACCGGUGGCGAAGGCGGGUCUCUGGGCAGUAACUGACGCUGAGGAGCGAAAGCGUGGGGAGCGAACAGGAUUAGAUACCCUGGUAGUCC